UGGGGAAUAUUGCGCAAUGGGCGAAAGCCUGACGCAGCGACGCCGCGUGAGGGAUGAAGGUUUUCGGAUCGUAAACCUCUGUCAGAAGGGAAGAAACCGCACUGUGCUAAUCAGCAGUGCCUUGACGGUACCUUCAAAGGAAGCACCGGCUAACUCCGUGCCAGCAGCCGCGGUAAUACGGAGGGUGCAAGCGUUAAUCGGAAUUACUGGGCGUAAAGCGCACGUAGGCUGCUUUGUAAGUCAGGGGUGAAAUCCCACGGCUCAACCGUGGAACGGCCUUUGGUACUGCUUAGCUUGAAUCCGGGAGUGGGUGGCGGAAUUCCGGGUGUAGGAGUGAAAUCCGUAAAUAUCUGGAGGAACAUCAGUGGCGAAGGCGGCCCCCUGGACCGGUAUUGACGCUGAGGUGCGAAAGCGUGGGGAGCAAACAGG
RNAcentral lists this ribosomal RNA (429 nucleotides) under Fusobacteriota bacterium. RNAcentral describes it as "Fusobacteria bacterium partial 16S ribosomal RNA". It matches the Rfam family "Bacterial small subunit ribosomal RNA", at positions 355 to 776 of the family's 1533-position model. The record is from RNAcentral. Lineage: Bacteria; Fusobacteriati; Fusobacteriota.